RNAcentral lists this long non-coding RNA (575 nucleotides) under Cyanistes caeruleus (blue tit). RNAcentral describes it as "lncRNA (ENSCCEG00000012898.1)". The record is from RNAcentral. Lineage: Eukaryota; Metazoa; Chordata; Aves; Passeriformes; Paridae.
UAAAUGGGACAAAUCUAAUCUAAUGGGGAAAAUGUUAGUUUUUCCUGUCCUCCACCACUUGCACUUCUCCUCCAUCUGCCACACAUACUUCUGAUGGCAGAGAAAUGUGUUUUAAGUUUCAGUUAUUGAAAGUCUUUAAAAGUAGACUGAAAUGUCAUCUUCCUUUUUACGGUUAUUAAGUAGGUAUCAAUUACCAUGUUUACUGCAACACCCAAAGUUUACUGCACUGUUGUUCCUGGAAAUGCAGCCAUAGCACAGAGACAGUUUCUAUCUUGGGAGCAAAGGGAGGUGAUCUGAGGCACACACCAAUGCUGUUAGCAAUUGCCUUGGGCUCAGACUGUGUUACAGAGAGGCUGCUCCACAAACAGCACCCACCUACUCCCAAGGUUUUCCCUCAGAAGUGGCAUGUGAGCUCUGCCUCUUCCAUCCUGCCUGUGCACCUUCUGUCCUAUGUGACCAAAAUCCUGCUCUGCACCCCUGGGUGAGUAAGUGGACAAGAUGGUGCAUGGCUUUUCCAGAUCUCAACAAGAAAACUCCAAGAACAAGUGGCAUAAUAAAACAGACAUUGUAAUACA